This 337-nucleotide ribosomal RNA is filed under the name uncultured bacterium. Its description in RNAcentral is "bacterial SSU rRNA". It matches the Rfam family "Bacterial small subunit ribosomal RNA", at positions 335 to 669 of the family's 1533-position model. The record is from RNAcentral.
ACUCCUACGGGAGGCAGCAGUGAGGAAUAUUGGUCAAUGGAGGGAACUCUGAACCAGCCAUCCCGCGUGUAGGAAGACGGCCUUAUGGGUUGUAAACUACUUUUAUACAGGAAGAAACGUACCCUCGUGAGGGUGCCUGACGGUACUGUAGGAAUAAGCACCGGCUAACUCCGUGCCAGCAGCCGCGGUAAUACGGAGGGUGCGAGCGUUAAUCGGAAUUACUGGGCGUAAAGCGCAUGCAGGCGGCCUGUUAAGUCAGAUGUGAAAGCCCGGGGCUUAACCUCGGAAUUGCAUUUGAAACUGGUAGGCUAGAGUCUUGUAGAGGGGGUAGGAAUUU